RNAcentral lists this long non-coding RNA (771 nucleotides) under Lonchura striata (white-rumped munia). Its description in RNAcentral is "domestica (Bengalese finch) lncRNA (ENSLSDG00000008382.1)". The record is from RNAcentral. Lineage: Eukaryota; Metazoa; Chordata; Aves; Passeriformes; Estrildidae.
CUUCUUCUGCUUUCUCAUUUCUCUACUUUUCUUCUUUCUUCUUUUCCCUCGUUUUCUAUUUUCCUCUUUUGUCUUUCCUCUCAUUUUUCCUCUAUUUUCAUCUUUCCCUUUUUCUCAUUUUUCCUCCUUUUAUUUUCUUUUUUCCUCCCUCUAUUUCUUUUUUCCUGUUUCUUUUUCCUCUUCUGCUUUUUCUCUCCUUUCCCCUUUUUUCUUCCCACUAUUUCUCUUUUUCUCCUUUUUCUUUUUCCUCUUUUCUUCUGCUUUUGUUCUCAUUUGCCCUUUUUCCUCUCCUUUUUUCCUUAUUUCUCUCUUUUUCUCUCCUUCUUCCUCUCAUUUUUUCCUUAUUUUUCUCUCCUUCUCUCCUUUUUCCUCUCCUUUUUUCCUUAUUUUUCUCUCCUUCUCACAUUUUUUCCUCUCCUUUUUUCCUUAUUUUUCUCUCCUUCUCUCCUUUUUCCUCUCCUUUUUUCCUUAUUUUUCUCUCCUUCUCUCCUUUUUUCCUUAUUUCUCUCUUUUUCCCUCCUUCUCUCCUUUUUCCUCUCUCUAUUUCUCUCCUCCCCUUUUUAUGUCCCUUUUUCCUCUCUCUUUCUCUAGCUCUCUCUUUUUCUCUCCUUCCCUGGCUUCCACCUCUCUCUUUCCCCCGCUUUUCCCUCUCUUUUUUCCUCUCCUUAUUUUCACUGUUUCUCCCGCUUUUCCCUCUCUCUUUUUCCUCCCUUCUUCUCCCCUCCUCAUCUCUCCCCCGUGCCGGCAUCACCCCUCGCUCCCGUUCCGGGA